UACGGAGGGUGCAAGCGUUAUCCGGAUUCACUGGGUUUAAAGGGUGCGUAGGUGGGUCUGUAAGUCAGUGGUGAAAUCUCCGGGCUUAACCCGGAAACUGCCAUUGAUACUAUAGGUCUUGAAUUUUCUGGAGGUGAGCGGAAUAUGUCAUGUAGCGGUGAAAUGCUUAGAUAUGACAUAGAACACCAAUUGCGAAGGCAGCUCGCUACAGGAACAUUGACACUGAGGCACGAAAGCGUGGGGAUCAAACAGG
RNAcentral lists this ribosomal RNA (253 nucleotides) under uncultured bacterium. Its description in RNAcentral is "partial 16S ribosomal RNA". It matches the Rfam family "Bacterial small subunit ribosomal RNA", at positions 524 to 776 of the family's 1533-position model. The record is from RNAcentral.